This 11403-nucleotide long non-coding RNA is filed under the name Selaginella moellendorffii. RNAcentral describes it as "long non-coding RNA (SMOE_LNC001108)". The record is from RNAcentral. Lineage: Eukaryota; Viridiplantae; Streptophyta; Lycopodiopsida; Selaginellales; Selaginellaceae.
UUUUUUUUUUUUUGUGAUUGAUUAUAUUGUCAGUCAGCCCAUUUGUCCCGGGAUGCACUGUCAGUAGUGCGCAAGUCUUUCGACGCACGCAAGGUAAUUGUUUAUUCUAGCUUUUUGCCUAAUGUUUACCUUUUGGAUUUGCUGUUAUCUGUAGGAGCCGAGAUUUGUGUACACUGUAGACUUGAAUGUCACCAGAUUGGUGUCCGAGCAGCCUAGAAGCUGGAGUUUCCUGUCAAGGAUGAAGCAGGAUCCCGGUGUCGUGGAGUUUCUCAAACGUGGAGCAGCUGCAAUGGACUUGGUGGAGAUGGCUCAACUUGGUGGGAAAGGUUUUCCAUCUCACCACUGUCCGAGCUCUAAAACAAGAGUUUUGGUCGUUGGAAGUGGACCAGCCGGUCUUUUUGCGGCACUGGCACUGGCUGAAAUGGGAGUGCAAGUGACAUUGGUGGAGAGAGGUUACCCGGUGGAGACCCGAGGCCGGCACAUUGGAAGCCUCAUGGUGAGGCGCAUUUUAAAGGAAGACAGCAAUUUUUGCUACGGAGAGGUAUAAAUCAUCUUUAUCGUGGUUUCUUGAUGAUGGACGCAGUAUAAACUUUAGGGAGGCGCAGGUACGUGGAGUGAUGGAAAGCUUACAACAAGGAUUGGAAAAAACAGUGAAGACGUUCAGACGGUAAUGACUAUUUCUCUUUCUCCCUUCUUCCUUUCUUAUUCAUGGACAUGACAGGUGCUCAAAACACUUGUUCGCUUUGGAGCAUCAGAUGGGAUACUCGUUGAAGGAAAACCGCACAUCGGAACUGAUAAGCUUGUCCACAUUCUCCGUGGCCUUCGUAAUCACUUGAAGACACUGGGGGUAAGCUUGGUUCAUUGUAUGCGUCUUUUAUCACAUCAAUGCAGGUUGAGCUAAUGUUUGGAACUAGAAUGGAAGAUAUUGUGAUACGAAAUGGUCGGGUGAGUGGUAUACAAGUCACCGACUUGGAGAAAACUACGACGGCAACUCUUAGUUGCGAUGCUCUUGUUCUUGCUGUCGGCCAUUCCGCCCGGAACACGUAUGAGAUGCUAUUAUCUCAUGGCGUGUUGCUGUCUGCCAAAGAUUUUGCUGUAAGCCGCGUGUUUCUUGCAAUCCUUUUUUAUUUUUGUCUCGAUGCGAUUGACGCAGUGGUUUUUUAUGUAACAGGUUGGUUUGCGUGUUGAACAUCCCCAGGAGCUGGUAAACCAAAUGCGGGUAAAGAAAACAAUAACAUGAGCCAUUUACUUUCUAAACAAAACAACCUUUAUCACAGUAUCGUGCAUGGGCAUCUCAAGUUCAAAGGGGCAAAGGAAAAGUCCCUGUGGCCGACUACAAGGUUGCUGCUUCGAUAAAUUCCGACGAGCUCCGCUCGUGCUACUCUUUUUGCAUGUGUCCCGGUGGCCAGGUUGAGCUUUGAUUUUCCCUGCUUUCGCUUCUCACCUUUUGUUCUCUCCAGAUCGUUCCAACUAGCACGGACCCGCUGCAUCUUUGUAUUAACGGGAUGUCCUUCUCGAAACGUGCAUCCAAGUGGGCAAAUGCCGCUCUCGUCGUCAACGUAACGUCAAAAGAUGUGGAGCCUUUCAGGGACGGGCAUGGGUCUCUUGCUGGUGUUGCAUUUCAGGUAGCGUGACAUUACCUAUAAGGCUUUGUAUCUAGAUUCCAAACCGCAGAGAGCGAUAGAGAGGGAUGCAGCACUCCUAGGAGGUGGAGAUUUUGUUGUGCCUGCUCAGACAUUGAAAGAUUUCCUGGAUGAUAAGAUUGCAGGUACUAAAACUACAACAAGCGUUACUUUUACAUCUAUUCUUUGCAGGCAACGAGCUUCCAACGUCCAGCUAUAGACUAGGCGUUCGAGAAGCUCCCCUCCACGAGCUGCUCCCUGGAUAUUUGACAGCGGUUUUAAAGAACGCGACUGAAAAGUUCAACCAACAGGUUCUUCGCUACAUUUCUCCGCUUGGUUGGUCUUUCGAGUUUUGGUACUGACACGAGUCUACGACUCUUGCAGCUGCAUGGCUUUAUCGACAGCCGGGCGCUUCUUCAUGGAGUGGAGGUAAGUAGCUUUUCUUUGAAAACGCACGUCCUCGAAAGUAAUAAUACUUUGUUAUUGCAGACAAGGACGAGCUCGCCCGUAAGGAUAGAGCGACAUGCAGAGACUUGCGAGAGCGUCUCUAUACAAGGGCUGUAUCCAGUUGGUGAAGGCGCUGGCUAUGCCGGUGGGAUUGUGAGUGCCGCUGUUGAUGGCAUGAAAGCCGGCCUUUCGCUCGGACGGCUCCUACUGGAGACAACGGUCGGGUAGUGUACCAAGGUUAGUCACGAAAUACCAGAAUUUUCAGCUCUUCUAGCAGGCUUUUGCAAGGUUCCCGCUUCUGCCAUUGCAAGGUUCCCGCUUCUGCCAUGGCUUUUUGUGGAUUUGUGUCUUUUCAUUUUUCUGACUUUUUAGAUCGUCCCAUCUGGCACGGGCCUUUGUAUGGAAAUCUUUCUGGAAACGCGCAUUCAAGCCACGCACGGACACGGUGGUGGUCAGGACAGACUUUUCUUUUCUACAGUUUGAACAAACAGGUGUGUAUUCUACUACGGUUUGUAGUUCUUAGAAACUAACUUUGAGUCUUACAGUUGGAUUUAACCAGUCGCGCUGGGAGCGCUUGGAGUGGAGGUAAGUAGCUAGUCUGACGAGUUUUCGAUGGCGCACUAACUUAUAUUACUGUAGAGGAAGACGAAAUGGAAUGCGAAGAAAACAGAACAUGAAAGUAUGAUACUGGGAAGUCGGGCAUGGCCGACAGCAAUCGAGUGACAUACUGGAUGCUGUCAGAGCGAAGGCAACUUUGUACACAGCUUAAGGUGAUGCAGAGAGGACAUCAUCCAUUUAAAAAUCAAUCGACUCGGCUAGUGUCACUGUUAGUGCUGCUGCUGGUUUCAUCCUUGGAGGACUUGACAACCAGCGCAAUGAACGCACCCACUAGAGCGAGAACAACGCCAGUAAUGAUCAGUGGCUUCUUGAGCUUGUCAGCGGAGGGGGGUUCUUUGGCAGCAGGUUCUUUAUCCUGGAAGAUAAGGGGACAGAGGAAUCGAUCACUUUCCCAACCAAGAACAGGGAAGGAAAACUAUCCAAAACUAACCUCUGGCAACGAGGAUUCGUAGCUGGGACCUUUCGUCGACGACACUCGCUCGUAAGCUCCCGGAUCUCCAGUCUUCCUCUUGGCUAUGUCGGAGGCAAGGCUAUCACUAUCCUCGAAUUUGGCUGGCUUCUUGGCAGCGGCAGCAUAGGAUUGACGCUCCUCACCUCCGGCGGAAGACAUAGCUUGCUACACAGAAAAAAAAAUCGAAACUCGCCUUGAAGAGGUAAAUUUCUCCACGCUCGACGCUCCCUUGAUCGUCUCUCUCUCUCUCUCUCUCGCGCGCGCGCUACUUCCACUUGGUGAUGUUCCUCCCAGGUAUGGAGAAGAGAUAGCGAUGAAGAAAACGAAGAGAAGGCAGCUAUGGUGGCGCCUGUGCAUGCUCGGCACGUGUUGAUGCUACGUGGCCACUUGCAAAACGCUUUCCACUAAUCCAGUGUCAAUGCUAAUCCACGUUUGUUUGUGAGGUGGUCCCGUACAGCGUGCUUCUGUUAGAACCGUACGAGAUUGUCACUCAAUCUAUCACGUUCCAAACCUUGGACCUGUCCAAACAAUUUUAAGACCCACUAGCCUCCCACCACCAACGAACUAUAAUGGCUGGAUGGGAAUCGCAUACUUGCAAGAUUUUAACAUUAUUACCACCACCACCUUAUCACAUUUUUCUUACCUUUCUUCCCUAUCAUAGUAGUAGUGGUUGCAACGGAAGUAAGGAACCAUGCAAGCAACCAAAGGCAACGAAACGAAGGCAAACUUUUCACCCCUGAAACUUUCAACCUUUUUUAUUUCGCUCCAGCCAGAGUAACUUUGGGGAGAAGCUCCCAUGCCUGGCGAUCCAACGGCUGGGAUCCACUGGAGCGUGUUUGUUGGGAAGUGGGUCCGUUUGUACACACCACAUUGUGGCCAGAGGGCGUGGUUUUGUUGUUCGAGAAGACCUUUCCCUUCUUCUUCUUCUUCGUCUUCCUCCUUGGCGAGAACCAAAAGCGAGAGACAAACAAGAAAAGGAGCGAGUGAGGGAGAUCGAUCUCGGCGAGUCUUGGUUGAGUGGUCCACUCAUUCUACGCAUCCAUCCAUUCCAAUCGAUCCAAGCUUGAAGCUUACGAGCUUUGAUUCUAUGUAGAUCGCUUUGGAAGCGAACAAGUAGUGGUCUUUGGAACAAACUCUCCCAGAUCCUUGAAAAGCGGCGGUAUCUCUAAGGUGUGAACUCGAUUUCUCAAGCAGGGUGGUGGUCUUGGCGAGCGAGCGAUCGAUCGCUCGAUAGGAUAGACAGGGAUAGGCACACAAUGCAGCCAAAAAUCUCGAUCUGGUUCGUGUUUCCAGCGGCGGUGGCGCUGCUCUUGUGCUCUAGCUCCACUCUGGUGGCCGCUGGGGACGAUGGCGGCGGCGAUAACGAUCAAGCGGCGCCGCCGGACGCCAAGGGGCUGCGAAAGGUGAUGGUUUCCAGCAGCGUGGCCAUCUCCAAGCUGCGAAUCACAGUGAAGAAAUACCAGCGCGACGACCACCUCAGCGAUUCCAAGACCCAAGCGCUCCUCUCGGAUUGCAUGGAUCUCACGGAGGACUCCAAGGAGGUGCUGGACGAUUCCAUGACCAUUCUCGUCAAGCUCCACGGCGCCAAGAACAAGAGCGGCAAUGAGAGUAGCAGCGGAAGCGGCAGCGGCGCGGAGGAGGAGGAGAUGGAGCUACUGCGCACGAAUCUCAGCGCGGCGCUCACCGACAUCACGACGUGCACGGAUGGAUUGCACGACGAGAUCACCGACGAGUCGGCGCAGACCAAGAAGGCGGUGGUGCGCAUCGAUCGCCAGGCCGCCAAGGUGUCGGAGCUGCUGUCCAAGGCGCUCAAUCUCACCGCCUCGAUCGAUGCCAAGAACUGAUCCAUCCAAUCCAAUCUCAAAUGCAUUGGCGAGUGGGAAGAUCAUCGUUGUUGGAUAGGAAACUUAGAUGAAUACAAAGAAGUUAUAGUCUAUGUGUGGUGUGAAUGGAAAGAAUCGAGGAUUGUGUCAAAGAAUAAAAAACGAGCGAUCCACUCCAGUAAGACGAUAGUUUUUGGACAAGAUCAUCACUCCAACUUUCGCUCAAAGUGUGAUUUUUGAAUUUGUAGUCAAGUCAUGAAAAUUUUCUUUCUCUUUCGAGCUCGAGUGUGUGAUAUGACUGGUUUGUUUACUCUCAGUGUCAGUCCUGGAAGAACCCUAAACUAUGGAAUGCCAGGCAAGCCUACGUCUUUAGCUACGUACAGGCCUGCCUGGAAGACUCUCUAUCCUCUUCAAAGUUAACAAGAUUUUCUUUCUGGCCUUCUUUCUUUUUUACUUCUUCUCGGGCUUUGAAUUUCCCAUCCAGGUGCUGAUCCAUCAAUCCAUCCAUCGAUUGAUCGAUCGAUCUCACAUGCUUUGUAGAUUUUUCUUCUCUGCGGGUGUCUUUGCCUGUUUGGAUCGAUCGAAAGCAACACGACCUUUUCUAUUUUAAAAGAUUUCACAAAGUCAUAUGAUCAAAACCGACCCAACGUGGAGUAGCGGCAUUUGCGAAUUCCACCGGCAAAUCGCCACCAACCUUUCGGAAAAUAAUCUCGUGGCGUUGACGGCUCAGAUCGCGAGCCAUGGCAGGAGACGCAGAGUUGACCAAGCCAAGCUCGUGUUUGACUCCAUGCCGAAACGGAAUGUGGUUUCAUGGACGGCCAUGAUAACCGCAUAUGCCCAUAGCGGGCAUUUAGAUAAGGCAGAAGAGAUGUAUCACAGGAUUCCGGAACGUAAUCUCGUGUGUUGGAAUGUUAUGAUCACUGCCUACUCUCAAUUCGGUUCAUUGGAAUCUGCUCAAAUGGUUUUUGAUAAGAUGGACGAGCGAGAUAUAGUGUCUUGGACGGCAAUGGUGACGGCAUAUGCCCGUUUUGGGCAUGUUGACAUGGCGAGAACAUUGUUUGAUUGCGGCAUGCCGGAACAUAACUCUUAUUCUUGGAAUGCUCUUCUCCAAACGUAUGCGCAUCUCGGAAUGGUGGUAAAGAUGGAAUGGCUGUUUGACGAAAUGCCGUGGGAAAGUAAAGACCUCAUCUCUUGGAACUCUAUCCUUCUCGGUUUCUCGCAAGUCGUCGAUGCUGCUCGGGCACAAGAGGUCUUUAAGAAAAUGCCACUUUGGAACGUAAAGUCGUGGAACAUUCUUCUUUCUGCUUAUGCCCAUGAUUUGCAUGAAUUUCAGAAGACUCGAGCAGUGAUGCCAGAAUGGGAUAUUGUAACUUGGAAUUCUACUCUAUCAACCUACAUUUGCCAAGGUAAACAUGAAAUUUGUGAAAGUGUGUUUGACUAUAUGGUGGAAAAGGACAUUGUUUCGUGGGUGACAAUGGUAGCAGGAUAUGCUCAGAUUGGGCAUUUCGAUCAGGCGAAAUUUCUCCUAAACAGGAUGCCAGUUUGGAACUUGGCUGCCUGGAAUUCGAUCAUUCAGGCUUAUGGCGAAGCUGGCGAGAUGGAAGAAGCUGAAAAAGCAUUUCGAUCUCUGCCAUUUGCGAACAUGAUCUCAUGGACGGCACUUCUCGCAGGAUUAAGAGACAACGACCUUAUUGAGCAGGCCAAAGAUUUGUUUUUCCAGAGAAUGCCUAGGCACAAUGUGGUCUCCUCGACGGUGGCUCUCACUUUUCUCCCGAGAGAGUCGGCUCGAGAGUUACUCAACUCCAUGCCGGAAAAGAAUGCUUUCUCGUAUGGAGCAGUGCUACAGGGACUUAUAGCACAAAAUGCUACUCUGGAAGAGAUCAAGUGUGCCUUUGAUUCCACACGGCCACCUUUCAAGACCAUCUUUCUGUGGAACAUGUUGCUUGGAGCUUAUGCAAACGCUGGAAAGGUUGAAGAUGCAAGAGCUAUCCUAUGCUUUCAAAUGCCCGACCAAGAUAUCAUCUCUUGGAACACUGUCUUGUCCGGUUUUGGCAGGCUCGGGGAUGUUGAAUUUGCUCGAGAGAUCUUUCAGACAAUGCCUGGGAAAGAUAUUGCUUCCUGGAAUGCGCUACUCUCGGCUUACUCUUAUAAUGGAUUUUUCCAGCAUGCAAUAGAGGUAUUCUUAACCAUGCCCGAGAAGAAUUUGGCAUCGUGGAACGCACUUGUGUGUGCUUGCUCCCGAGUUCCAGAUUUUGCAUCUCUUUGUGCUGAAAUCUUCCGGGAGCUAUUGAUAUAUGGUUUCGAUCCUGAUGCUGCAACUUUUACUGGGUUUUUCACUUCGUGCAGUCACUUGGGAACUCUAAAUUUUGCCAUGAGGAAGUUUGUCUCAAAUAGCAUUGACUUUCCAUCAUUUUGCAACAACGAGCAUUAUCAUAGGAUUAUGGCUGACAUGUUAUCUCGGGCUGCUAUAAAAUAACAAUUUAUAAAACCAGAUUUUUCUAACUAAUAUAUCAUAAAACAGAAAAAUAUUCCAGGCGUUUUAGCGACUUCAUCCUCACUUGCCUUACUGUAUGUGCCGAUUCACCUAUUGAUUCGUAAAUCUGCUCGAGCCCCAAGCUGGAUCUGGGGCAGAAAAUCCAGCAGCCUGUAGGUGAGAAUAAAUAGACAAACCGUAUGAAGAUAGGUGGGGCGACUCGUGCGAGAAUAAAUAGACAAACCGUAUGAAGAUAGUGUGUUACCAUUGGUCUGGUCAAGUCAAGUUUGUGAUGUCAACUUAUCCCUCUCCGAGAACAAUUAAGAAUUUCCUAUUUCUGGAAGUAAACUAGUUUCAUAACUUGUUACUAUUGUUACUCUGGGAACUCUCUAGAACUUUGAUGCCCACCGAAGAAAAGAUGAAGAUCAUCAAGCUAAGCAAGUAGUAAAGGAAUAAUAACUCUUAAUAAAAUCAAUGUAUCUCAUAGAAGACAAUUGCCAUUUGCUGCCUUAACACUCUUGGAUCCAAUUCAAGAGCAGCUGUACAUAUUUGCAUUUGCGGGCAUGGAAUGGGAAUCCGUAUCAAGGUCUACCAAAAUCUCCUUGAGGAGUGCCCUCUACGCGGCUGUUAACACAUUUAAGAAGAGGCAAGGAAAGCUGCUUAUUGAUAAAUAUAUUAAGUUCGUUUUUUCUUUCAUGCAGCUCACAGCGUCCCACAUCAAAGAGGAAAUGAAGAAAAUACUGGUAUGGAUGGUACCAUAAGCAUCGAACACAACGAAGAAGUAACGAUGUUUAAAACUAGAGCAGCAGCUCGCGACUGUUUGAUUGAUGCUUUUGGUUUUUUUCUACGUGCAGAGCGCACCAUGGAGUCGGGUGGGUUGGAGAUAUUUCUUUAUGCUUUUGCUUUACUCUAACCAUGAGAAUUCUACUCCAUAUGGAUCCAGGAAAACAGCCAUCAUCAAACUGGACCUCCUCCUGAUAAGCCUAGCCAAGAGCAACAUGAUCCACAAGAGGUCCCCGCACAAAGUCUCCCUUCUGCUCGCCGGUGAAGAAGAUGUCUGGCAGAAGAUCUAAGAGAACGAGUUGUCUCCUCAGCAUCCUCGCAAUGGCUGUACGAGGUGUGCCUCAACUCUUAUUUAAUGUUUUAAAACUCGUAUGCCUUGCGAUAUGCAUGAAAGAUUACAUGAAGGUGGAUAAACAACUCUCGCUCAACUCUUUCAUAAAACUACCGCUAAGAAGAACGAUGCCUGCCGAGCUGGGGAAAAUGGUGCAUAUUCUGCUCCUAAAUGCGUUACAGGACAACCUACUCAUCAACUGGAUCUACGAUAAACAUAAAAUUCUUCUGGGGGCCAUACAACUAUAAACCCGGGGAAGUACCUGACGAGUUUUUUUCGCCAGGAUCUCACACGAGAAUGGUAGAAAGGAAAAAGAAGAUGUGAGGAGGACGAGGACGGGAGGGUAGAGGUGAAGCUUUGAAAUUGAGAAGUGAGGUGAAUGAGGACGAGGACGAGGGAACACAAAGCUUCGGUGAAGUGGAUGGAGAUGAAAAAGAAACCACGCGGUUUUGGUAAGUUGACCAUGAGCUUUUUCGAUAGCCUCCGGCGGUGGAGAGAAGACAAAGAACCUCUCCAGCCAGUCUUCCUUGGACCUUUUCGAGAGCGCAUGGAAGCGGUGAAGAUAACUUCUUGCACCUUCCUUGCGUUUAGAAUCUUGAGAGGAAGAAACGACUCUGCGAAACCAACGCUCAGAUCUCUUGGCAGGACGUCCUUUUGGUCGCAAUGCAAUCUUAGUGGCAGUGGAACAACUGGACACAGGAAACAGGAGAUGAACAGGGAUAUAUAAAGCAGCCAAACCAUUCCAGGGGCCAGCCAUGUCGGCCAACUGUAUUCUUCACCGGGAGAAGUGACCCUCUGGAUGAUCAGUAGCCGCCGCAAGUCUUUUUCUUUAUCUCAUAUUUUUCUCGAAACUUAUUCAUCACAGGCUUGGUUGGUAAAAUAACUUACCAGUUUGAGAAAUUUUCCAGUUCAGUGCCAGGUUGAAGAUUUUUUUCUCAAGUAAGAAAGACCACAACUUUCUCAUGGCUUAUGUGCAGAUUGUAGAUCAACCAAACUAGCUACUCACGAAGACAGUGGCCCUUCGCUCGCAGCAAGCGUAUGUUUGAUUUCUUACUUUAGAAUGGAAUGGAGAUAUUCUUACCUUGCAACUUCAGCUGCCAAAUCCCGUCAGGAUCGACGAAUUCAUUUAAAAACAUGUUUUCUCUUGUGGUGGAGAAGUCUGGAGAGUUCUCUUUGCGAAUUUACUCUUACAAUCUUCUCUUUUCUGUAGAAGCAUGGCGUGAAUGAGACAGAGUGGCGCGGAGGUGGCGGUCUCGCUCAACAAUGUUGCAGUAAUUUUGUGAGCCAUAUCCUUCAACAGUGGGCAAUCAGGUGUCAAGUAAAGUUCCAAGUCUACUGGACUUCAAGGUUGCCGGAAGAAGCAGUAUCUCUUCUUGCUGGCCAACGCGCUGGACGAGGAGCAUUUGCAGGAGCGCUUUACGGCGAGCGUAACAAGGAGCAAGAUAUCUGGCUGGUGAUAAAGCCCAAGUUCAUGGAGAAAUUCCCAGAGCUUCCGGCACGACUCAUCAGGCCCGCAGUGGGUCUCAUCUCCACUGACCCCGUCUGGAUCACAUAAGUUCCUCCUGUUGGGUUUUCUUUCGCUCUCAUUGAUCUUCAUGGAUUCAUGGAUCGAUCGCGCGUGACCUUGUCGGAAUCGAGGAUCGCGGAAGGCGCAUUGCGCUUCGUCGCGUAGUGCCGUGGCGAUCCUGCCCUCGACGAAGAUCUCCACCUGGCUCGCCAGGUUUCCCUCAGCGCUCACGGCAGCUCAAGAAGCCGAAGGCUAGUCCAGAUCACGAGCGGCAUCCCUUGAAGAGACCCCGUGAUCCAUACCAUGUAAGAGCUCCAGGGCAUUGGGGAGUCGAUGGUUCCGAUGAUCACCUCGUUCCACUGCGGCAAGAGCUCGGUGGUGUUUUCAAGAUGCCCUACUUGGGCAUAUCCUGCGCCCAUGGUGUUCCAUGUCACCACGUUUCGUAAAGUGGCCCGGUAAAAGCUUUCCCGUGCCUGUGUGCACGGCAUCUCUGUGUGUAAUCUUCCACGUCGCAGCUCUCUAUUGAGUUACGAAGAUUCCAAGCCUCGACCAAGUUUCCAAACCAAAACAGAUGCCCUCUCGGGGCAUAUGCUGAGACCACAACAUUAUGUGUGAUAUCAUGUAGCUACUUUAAAAACAGAAUGAAAAAGAAAGAGCGAAACAAAUGUGAAUUACUAAGCGGUGACCAUGUGUACGAGCUUAAAAACUCGCGUGGAACCGAGGUGAGAGCUCACAACAUUUUUUUACAUUCAUGAGAAUUCAGGCACCAAAAUAUUAAAGUUCAGGCACACAUAAGCCAAUUACACCAACGGACUAACUUUCCUGAGGCUCUUCAAAUUUUCUGGUAGAGUCUUCCCUGUGGCCUCCGCAAACACCCUCAAAGCUUCAAUGGCCUUCUCUUGUCGAAUAGCAAGCAGCUGGUCCAUAUCCAUUGUUGCUAAAGCAUUAUAACCAUCUAGAAUUUCUAGUGGGGACUCCAACAAGUAGAAGUGAACCAGCAUCGCAUAGACAAUAGCAGCGCUUGAUCCCACAAGUGCAAAGGCUUGAACUUGCCAUCCAACUGGUGGAGCAAUGAUGGCAGCCACAAUACCGGCCACGUAAGCCAUAUACCUCAUGAAACCGACCAUUAUGAACACAACCAAACCGCCGCCGUCGUUCCAAUCAUCAGGCAAAGGUAUUGCUGCUGGAGUGAAAAGUCCACAGUAUAAUAUCACCACCAGCAGAAGCACCACCCACUGAUUCGUGAUCAAUGCGGAAAAAAUACCACUGAUGCCCCCAACAAGAAAACCGUAUGUGAUAAUUUUCUUUCGACCAAAUUGAAAAAGCAUAAAUCCUGCAUGGAGCUCUU